UCGGUUUUGAAUAUGAAAGUCUUCUAUAUGAAUGUUGGCCUCCACUUUGGAAACCCAGCAAAUCAGCCGUCUUCUCUUGCCUCAGUUCCAGCAGCUUCUGAAGCAGCUCCUGAGGAAGCUAGAAAGAGAUGGAUUCUAAUGCAAUCAUUGAAAAAGUCUCCACAAUUGGUCAACUUUGGGCAAGAACUUACUGGAAUCCUUUUGUCUUACCAGAUGAUGAAAGCCAAAAAGUUCAAAAUGGUGUUCAUGUUGUUCAAUUAACAAAGAACCACACAAUUCUGGAGAAUCAGAACUAACUCCUUGACAUGGGAGUUGUUACCUCAAAUACUUUUGGCAUUUAGAGUGGCUAUAAAAGAAGUAGGUCUUUUUUUCUCAAGGUUUUGGGUAUGUACCUGCAGAUUGCCAUAUUGGUUUGUUUAAAAACAUGGUUUUAUCAUUUCUGUCUGAACUCAAAGAGAAUAAUCUUGCUGGAAUUAACAGAGAAAACGCAAACUAUGAAAUUCUUGAGACACACAUCUGAUUAUGAGGAAAAGAAAAUUAUAGGAUGUUGUUAAUGGGAUCUUAAAUAAAUGGGCUCAAGCACUUUGGAGAACAGGUUGGUAGCACUAUGCAACUAUUUUUUCUUAUAGGUUAAGGUAACAUAAAAAGAACUGUCUAUAAAGGGAAAGCUCAAUCUUGCUGUAUAUAUAGAGAGAGAUAAAUAAAUUAAGUAAUGGUGGUUUAUUACAGGGUGGAAAGCUAAAAGAAUUUGAAGAGCCAACUCUUUUCUUUGCUUACAAGCCUUUACAUCUUUUGUUUCUUUCCUAGAAACAUUUAUCCUCCCAUUGUUGGAUCAUUCUUAUUUUUUAAUGGUCUUACCUCCAAAAGUAAUCUUUUUCUAAAGCUCUCUGUAAUCAUUCUGUUCAUUACCCUGGCAGUUUAUAUAUUCUCAGUUACAUUUACCAAAACAUAUAGUUAUUGUAGUUAUUUUAUUUUUUUGACUGCUUGGUUUUCAUCAGUGUAUAUCCAGUACAUUCAUACUGGAAUGUGAAUUCCAUUUGACCAGAAUCCAUGUGUCUUCUGCAUUUUAUUCCAGUGCCAAGAAGGAACACCAUAAUUACUUAGUUAGUGAAUGCACUGAUAAACAAAUAACUAAAUAUGAAUAUUACCUGGAAUAAAAUUUAAAUAUUUAUCAGUAAUUAGUUCAUUUCUGGAACCUAUUUUUCCAAGGCUAAUUUGAAUAUACUUUCUCUAAUAUCUGUUAAGUAUUUUAUUUAAGUGCAUCAGUCCUGAAAUAAGUUCUAUUCUCAGGAGCCAUUAUCAUCUCAGUACUUCCUUAAUCCAUUUUUUCCCAUCUGUAGUCACUUAAAUAAUUUGUAGCUCUUGUCCAUGUUAAAAAAUUUGGUAACAGCUAUAUCUGUUCUGUCCUGUGUUGUUUAUAGCUAUGAUAUAUUUGUCUUCAGUCUGUUUCACUCUAUUUUAAGUCUCCCAUUUCAUCUCAUUGUUUUGUUUGGUUAUAUAAAUUUUGGCUCUAUUAUAUUGAAUUUAUGUAAAGGUCUAAAUUUUCCUAUAGCUUGAAACAUUUGUAGACUUCAGUGAAAAACCUUCCAUUUCAAAAUGGGUCUUCAAUUCUUUUUUUUUUUUUUUUUUGCUAUUUUUUUCAUUUGACUUAUAUAAUAUCUUUGUGUAGAUGUCAUGUGAUUAAUUGACUUGCAUCUAAUAUGACUAACUCAAUGACCCUUAGUCCAUUUUCCAUAUUAUGUGAAUGAAACUAUCAAUUAUAAUACAAUUCUUU
Molecule: long non-coding RNA, 1774 nt
Filed under: Canis lupus familiaris (dog)
Lineage: Eukaryota; Metazoa; Chordata; Mammalia; Carnivora; Canidae
Description: lncRNA (ENSCAFG00845020285.1)
Source: RNAcentral